CAAGCAGAAAAAGGCAGGGAGAGCCGAGCAGUCUAGGGUUUUAAGUUCUCUCCCCUUGUGUGUUUUUUUGGCCAAAGGACGAAAAUAGUUUUCCUCAACUGUAAAUGAACCGCUAAACCCCACCUCAACCCUGUUCACUGGAGACUUUGUUCCCUGUUCUCUGGAUGGCCUUUUCCGGGAUCUCAUGUUCUUAUCAAACAAGAAGGAAGUGAAUGUUACCAUCUUCCAUUUGACUCCUCUAUUUGGUGUCUAAGACAGUGUCUUCCCAGAAGACCAACUCCCUGUACCCGGAGACAAGACACCCAUGUCCUUUUCCUCAGUCACAGUUAUCAUUUCGGAUGUCACUCGGGUCUCUCGGGAACCUCAUUUUUGAGUGUUAAUGAACCCCUUAAGGGCUGUUUAGGAAACAGCAGUUUUCACGGUUCUCCUCUCCCGUGUUUCACUCGGAUACUUUGCUGGACAAAAGUGGUUCUAUCUUCAGACGUGACUCUGGUUACCUCUAGAAAUAGGUCCAAGAAAUGGGAUGGUUGACCGGCUUGGCCUGAAAUGCUUGACUGUGUUAGCAACGCUCAAAACUGUCUGUUUCCCAUUUGUUGGUUUGAAUCAUAAAACUGUCAAGUGAU
RNAcentral lists this long non-coding RNA (623 nucleotides) under Rattus norvegicus (Norway rat). RNAcentral's name for it is "long non-coding RNA NONRATT008806". Lineage: Eukaryota; Metazoa; Chordata; Mammalia; Rodentia; Muridae. The record is from RNAcentral.